This is a long non-coding RNA of Apis laboriosa (Himalayan honeybee), 563 nucleotides long. RefSeq lists it as uncharacterized. The transcript is spliced from 2 exons. NCBI's taxonomy places the organism in Eukaryota, Metazoa, Arthropoda, Insecta, Hymenoptera, Apidae. The record is from RefSeq and is a predicted model, not a curated record.
UCGCUAAGAUUUUUUUCUUUUGUAAAAUUCUCAUUUAGACAAGAUGAUUAAAAAAGGUAGUUGAAAACAACUUGUGAAAAUUUUUUCAAAAAAAAAUUUAGAAUAAAACACAAAGCCUCUUGUCAAGAUUACUUGAGUUCAAUGUUUCUUAGUCUUUCUCUGAAUCUUAGAAGUCAUAUUUAAGAGCACAACAGAACAAUAAUAAAAAUUUACUUUAUUAUUUUAUUCUUUUUAAUCAAUCUUCAGGAAAAAAUUAUCACAAAUUCAGUUUUCUAAACAUAUUUAGUGAAAUUGAGAUGAUUAAUGUAAGAAUAAAUGAUAUUCUGUUCAGUUCUAUUCAAGUUACUAUCUUUUAUUCGUUCGUGUAGAUUACCUUGUACUUAUUCUGUCUGUGGAAAUACAACAGAAAGUGGAAAUCAAUAAGGUUCAGUGAAAUCACCAUAAAAUACUUGAGACUUUCUAUUCAGAUAGAAAAUGAUUGUUCGAAUACACGCAAAGAGAUUUUGGAUAUUUUUUAUUUGAAAUAAAAUAAUAAACGGAAAAAAUAAUUAUUUCAAAUAAAA